UGCUUGUGGCAGAGAUUAGCUGUGGACCU
RNAcentral lists this non-coding RNA (29 nucleotides) under Rattus norvegicus (Norway rat). Lineage: Eukaryota; Metazoa; Chordata; Mammalia; Rodentia; Muridae. The record is from RNAcentral.